RNAcentral lists this ribosomal RNA (540 nucleotides) under uncultured bacterium. RNAcentral describes it as "bacterial SSU rRNA". It matches the Rfam family "Bacterial small subunit ribosomal RNA", at positions 355 to 896 of the family's 1533-position model. The record is from RNAcentral.
UGAGGAAUAUUGGUCAAUGGGCGAGAGCCUGAACCAGCCAAGUAGCGUGCAGGAUGACGGCCCUAUGGGUUGUAAACUGCUUUUGUAUGGGGAUAAAGUCAAUCACGUGUGAUUGUUUGCAGGUACCAUACGAAUAAGGACCGGCUAAUUCCGUGCCAGCAGCCGCGGUAAUACGGAAGGUUCGGGCGUUAUCCGGAUUUAUUGGGUUUAAAGGGAGCGUAGGCCGGAGAUUAAGUGUGUUGUGAAAUGUAGACGCUCAACGUCUGACUUGCAGCGCAUACUGGUUUCCUUGAGUACGCACAACGUUGGCGGAAUUCGUCGUGUAGCGGUGAAAUGCUUAGAUAUGACGAAGAACUCCGAUUGCGAAGGCAGCUGACGGGAGCGCAACUGACGCUGAAGCUCGAAGGUGCGGGUAUCGAACAGGAUUAGAUACCCUGGUAGUCCGCACAGUAAACGAUGGAUGCCCGCUGUUGGUACCUAGUAUCAGCGGCUAAGCGAAAGCAUUAAGCAUCCCACCUGGGGAGUACGCCGGCAACGGUG